This 487-nucleotide ribosomal RNA is filed under the name Dactylogyrus malleus. RNAcentral's name for it is "bacterial SSU rRNA". It matches the Rfam family "Eukaryotic small subunit ribosomal RNA", at positions 1360 to 1831 of the family's 1831-position model. The record is from RNAcentral. Lineage: Eukaryota; Metazoa; Platyhelminthes; Monogenea; Dactylogyridea; Dactylogyridae.
UUUUUAUGUGGACCUCUGUCCUUGUGCCUCGUGUGCUUGGAUAGAACCACAUAAGCAGGUGAAACUUCUUAGAGGAACUGGCGCCCAAAAAGGCGCACGAGAAAGAGCAAUAACAGGUCUGUGAUGCCCUAAGAUGUCCGGGGCCGCACGCGUGCUACAAUGACGAUGCUACUGAGCAUGAUUAACUUGUCCGAAAGGACUGGUGAAACUGUUCAAUCAUCGUCGUGACUGGGAUUGGGGUUUGCAAUUGUCCCCCAUGAACCAGGAAUUCCUAGUAAGCACAAGUCAUAAGCUUGUGCUGAUUACGUCCCUGCCCUUUGUACACACCGCCCGUCGCUACUACCGAUUGAAUGGUUUAGCAAGGACAUUGGAUUGAGCCCUUGCGGUUUCGGCUGCUUGGGUUUGAGAAGAUGUCCGAACUUGAUCAUUUAGAGGAAGUAAAAGUCGUAACAAGGUUUCCGUAGGUGAACCUGCGGAAGGAUCAUUA